AGGUGGGCUUUCAGAGGAGAAGAUGUUGUUCCGAUGAUUUUUCUGGAUUUACUUCCAUGUGGUAGCGGAGAGGAAGGCAGAACUGAUUUGGGACCUUCCUGAUAGGGUGCAGCAACUCUCCCACUUCAGAGCAGACCAGCACUCGGUUCUGGCCUCCAGAGUCUCCCCUGUGCCAACAGAGGUCCUUGGGCGGGCAGCCAUAUCCAGCAGCCAUGGAAGGAGCCAUCAGGAGCAGAACAUGGGCCAGCAAAGGAUGGUGCACAGUGGGCUGGUGUUCUUAGCCAAAAUGGUGCUUAUAUCUCAAAACUCUAGUGUUUCCACUGGAGAGGGUUGGAGCAGAGGAAGAGAGCUUCAAAUGUGAGAACACAUUCCAGCUGCAGGAUCAGAGGACUUUUCCUACAGCCCAUAAGUGCCUGCAGCUCUAUCGGAUUUGCAAAUCUACAAAAGAGAGCACAUCCUAUUGUUCCCGGUUUUGAGUUUUUUUAAUAGUAUGUCUUGUAAAAUGCUGGUUGCUGGUGGACAGGGGUGUUUUACAGAUAGGUGUGACUCAGGAGGGGAAAUGGGUGGGCAGAGACAGCCACAAGGAAUUCCACACAUGAAGGAAAUGCUCCCACUUGUGUUUUCUAUUUGUGUUUUAAAUUUGGGGAGCGACUCACAGGCACUCAGCAAAAGUAACUAAUUAUAUUAACCUUAUCAGUAGUGAGGUUUCCUGGUCUCUCAUCAGACACUCAGCUCACUGGCUGGUAUUUAAUUGGGAGCCUGGUGGCCAGUGAAAACAGUGUGGGAUGAGUCACACUUUAACAAGUUUUUAUAGUACAGCAACCUUGCUGUAUAAUAGCCAGACAUUAUUAAAAUUCAGAUAUGGUACACUGACUUGUUUGUUUUCCUUAUUCACAUGAAACAGAUGCUCAGGACUCAUUUUACUUACACACAGUAAAUGAGGGUCAGCUGUGUUGAGGGAAGUGAGUACUUUGUUCUGGAAGGAUAGAUGUUGUAGCAAUUGUCUUGCUCUGAUUGUAUUUGAAAAGAAUGAAUGUUGUUAGUACAAUUUGGUAUUCUUCCAAUGCCUAGUUGGAGUUCAAGGGAUAUAAAACUGGGCGCUUGAGGAGUGGGAUGGAAAAGGAUGGAGAAGGAAGGUCAAAUAUGGCUUUGAAGGGGAUCAGCAGAAGCCAGAGGCCGCAGUGGUGAACACUCCUUGUGAAUGGCCCUUUGCACCCACGGCUUGGUGAACCCAGCAUGGACCGUGGAGAGAGGACCUGCCUAAAAACCAGAGACGGGGUUUGCCUCUCCGCAUCACCACUGGCUUGCUGCAUCAAGAAUCUGCCUUUCAGCUUCUUCACCUGAAACAAGGUGAUUGGGAUAGCUGGUUUUAUUUAUUUAUUUUUGAGGCCAUUCUAGCACUUUGUAAAGUCCAAGGGGGUGUGGUAUUGUAAUUCUUGGAAUAAUACAAUGAACAUCAGAUGCUUUGAAGUUUUCCGUUCGGUGGAUUCUGGGAUUCUUUUCUGAAUGAGUGAUUACUAGCCAACAGGAAUCUCAUGGUUCAACCUCAAACUCAAAAGUUAUUUCGGGGAUGGAAAAUGGUAAGAUUGGGGAAAAUCCUUCCACCUUCACCCCUGUGAAUUAGGAGUCUUGUUAAUUAGUAUACAUGAUUAAAUAUUGAGAUUUAUAGGCAUCAACUUGUGUGACCUGUGACAGUUGGGUAUCAAAACA
Molecule: long non-coding RNA, 1710 nt
Filed under: Homo sapiens (human)
Lineage: Eukaryota; Metazoa; Chordata; Mammalia; Primates; Hominidae
Description: HSALNT0151238
Source: RNAcentral